Molecule: ribosomal RNA, 875 nt
Filed under: Salmonella enterica subsp. enterica serovar Infantis
Lineage: Bacteria; Pseudomonadati; Pseudomonadota; Gammaproteobacteria; Enterobacterales; Enterobacteriaceae
Description: partial 23S ribosomal RNA
Rfam family: Bacterial large subunit ribosomal RNA
Source: RNAcentral
AAGAUGCAGUGUACCCGCGGCAAGACGGAAAGACCCCGUGAACCUUUACUAUAGCUUGACACUGAACAUUGAGCCUUGAUGUGUAGGAUAGGUGGGAGGCUUUGAAGCGUGGACGCCAGUCUGCGUGGAGCCGACCUUGAAAUACCACCCUUUAAUGUUUGAUGUUCUAACGUGGAUCCGUAAUCCGGGUUGCGGACAGUGUCUGGUGGGUAGUUUGACUGGGGCGGUCUCCUCCUAAAGAGUAACGGAGGAGCACGAAGGUUGGCUAAUCCUGGUCGGACAUCAGGAGGUUAGUGCAAUGGCAUAAGCCAGCUUGACUGCGAGCGUGACGGCGCGAGCAGGUGCGAAAGCAGGUCAUAGUGAUCCGGUGGUUCUGAAUGGAAGGGCCAUCGCUCAACGGAUAAAAGGUACUCCGGGGAUAACAGGCUGAUACCGCCCAAGAGUUCAUAUCGACGGCGGUGUUUGGCACCUCGAUGUCGGCUCAUCACAUCCUGGGGCUGAAGUAGGUCCCAAGGGUAUGGCUGUUCGCCAUUUAAAGUGGUACGCGAGCUGGGUUUAGAACGUCGUGAGACAGUUCGGUCCCUAUCUGCCGUGGGCGCUGGAGAACUGAGGGGGGCUGCUCCUAGUACGAGAGGACCGGAGUGGACGCAUCACUGGUGUUCGGGUUGUCAUGCCAAUGGCACUGCCCGGUAGCUAAAUGCGGAAGAGAUAAGUGCUGAAAGCAUCUAAGCACGAAACUUGCCCCGAGAUGAGUUCUCCCUGAGACUUAGAGUCUCCUGAAGGAACGUUGAAGACGACGACGUUGAUAGGCCGGGUGUGUAAGCGCAGCGAUGCGUUGAGCUAACCGGUACUAAUGAACCGUGAGGCUUAACCUU